Molecule: long non-coding RNA, 3494 nt
Filed under: Homo sapiens (human)
Lineage: Eukaryota; Metazoa; Chordata; Mammalia; Primates; Hominidae
Description: HSALNT0030406
Source: RNAcentral
CCGCCUCCAGGUUCAAGCGAUUCUCCUGCCUCAGCCUCCCAAGUAUCUGGGAUUACAGGUGCCCGCCACCAUGCCCAGCUAAUUUUUUGUAAUUUUAGUAGAGACAGGGUUUCACUAUGUUGGCCAGGCUGGUCUUGAAUGCCUGACUUCGUGAUCCAAUUGCCUCGGCCUCCCAAAGUGCUGGGAUUACAGGGGUGAGCCACCGUGCCUGGCCACAUCUCGGUAAUUUUUUUGUAUUUUUAAUGGAGACGGGGUUUCACCAUGUUGGCCAGGCUGGUCUCGAACUCCUAACCUCAAGUGAUCCACCUGCCUCAGCCUCCCAAAUUGCUGGCAAUACAGGCAUGAGCCACCACGCCUGGCCAGUACUUUAAUAUUUGAUAAUGCCAAUGGUGAAUAUUAACCUUUAUUACUACUUCAUGAGUACAAUUAACAAAGGCAUGAACACUAUUAACCACGGUUGUUAAAGCAUCGUGGUAUCUUUUUCCAAAGGUAGGCCUCAAUGCAGCAUGCCUCCUGUUAUUCAGGCGUCUGUAUGGUCACCUGCCACGCUGUCCUUGGUACUCACUUGACCUAGUAGGAAAUUACAGAAGUGAUACUCUGCUGACCCUGGGCCUAGGCUUUUUUUUUUUGAGACAGGGUCUCACCCUGUCACCCAGGCUGGAGUGCAAUGGCGCAAUCUCAGCUCACUGCAACCUCCACCUCCCAGGUUCAAGCAAUUCUUCUGCCUCAGCCUCUGGAGUAGCUGGGAUUACAGGCGCCACACCACCAUGCCUGGCUAAUUUUUUGUAUCUUUAGUAGAGACGGGUUUCCACCAUGUUGGCCAGGCUGGUCUCGAGUUCCUGCCCUCGUCAUCAGCCUGCCUCAGCCUCCCAAAGUGCUGGGAUUACAGGCGUGAGUCACCGCACCUGGCCGGGCCUAGGCUUUAAGGCCUGGUAGCUCCUGCAUUUGCACGUUUUGGUGCUCUGAGCAAACAUGUAACAAGUCCUGCUACCCUGCUAGAGGGACUACAUGGAGAGACCACAGGAGAGAGAAGAGCCCUGAGAUUAUCGGGGGUAGAGAGAGAGGCCUGGGUGCCUCAGCGCCCCAGCUGAGCCCAGGCUCCUACCAGACACAUGAGGGAAGCCAUCUUGAUGUUUCAGCCCCACCACUAAGCUCCUACCAGACACAUGAGGGAAGCCAUCUUGAUGUUUCAGCCCCACCAUUAUCUGACGGCAGCAGCACGUGAGGCCGCAAAGGAGACCAACAGAAAUAAUCAUCCCGCUGAGCUCCAGCUAACCCACAGAAUUGUCACCCACUUCCUGCUCAAGUUCCAGAAUAUCAAUCCCCAAAUUCCAAGAACUGGAGAGUGAGGAGGUGGAGAGGAGAGAGAGGAGGAUGAAGAGGAGAGAGAAGACAGCAAGACGUGUGGUUAUGACAUGGGUUGAAGCGGGAGCCGAAGGACCCCCUUUGGUCAGGGAAUCAAAGGUCUUUUAUACUCAUGAAUGUCAAAACUGAAAUUUGAAGUUUUUUUGUGCCACUGCUAUAAAUACCCUGCCUCUUCUUUCAUAUUUUCUUCCUUUUUUUUUUUUUUUUUUUUUUUUUAGUAAAGACUACUACUCACAAAAUGCUUUAUUUGGAUAGAGUUAUUAUGAAAAUAAAGAAGCUGAAUUCAUGGCUGGAUACUUCCUAGGGAAAAUUCAGAACUCCAAGGAGAAGACCCGUUCACUUGCUCCUUCCAGGCAGGUGACCUAGACUUGAACUUGGCCCAUUAAUUUGCCUUGGAAAAUGAACUGUGACCAGAUGUGACACACACCACUCCUGAACAGAACAUUUUAAGGGUAUUUCAAGUUUCCUGUGCCCUCUGCCAUGAGAAGGGCAUAUUUCCCAUAUGAGCUGCUCCUUUGGCCUGGGUCCCUGAAUGAGAAGACACUCGAAAUCGAUUCUCAAUGCAGCCUGGAGCAGAGCUGCAGCAGCCAAACACAGCCUCUGACCUGUAACAUGAGCAGGAGUAAAUAUUUGUCGUUGUAAACUACAAGAUUUGAGGUUGUGAAGCAGCGUAAUCUAGCAAAAGCCAACUAUGAAGUCCAAACUCUAAAAGCUUCCAGGCUGGGUGUGGUGGCUCACACCUGUAAUUCCAGCACUUUGGGAGGCUGAGGCGGGUAGACCAUUUGAGGUCAGGGGUUUGGGAUUAGCCUGGCCAAGAUGGUGAAACCCGUCUCUACUAAAAACACACACAAAAUUAGCCAGGCAUGGUGGCUGGUGCCUGUAGUCCCAUCUGCUUGGGGGCCUGAGGCAGGAGAAUCGCUUAAGCCCCGGAGGUGGAGGUUGCAGUGAGCCGAGAUCACACCACUGCAUUCCAGCCUGGCCAACACAGCAAGACUCUGACUCAAAAAUAAAAUAAAAUAAAAUAAAAUAAAAACUACCAGAAGGGAAGAAAGAAACCUGGUAACUUACAAAGAGACCCAAGUCAGACAAUGCCAUACUCUACAUCAGCAGUGCUGGGUAUUAGAAGGUAAUGGACAGUCUGUCUUCAAAGUUGUGAAACAAAAUUAUACCAAACUUUAAAAUCUACAAUGGGCUGGGAGUACUGGCACACACCUGUUGUCCUAGCCAGGUGGAGGCUGAGGUGGGACAAUUGCAUAAGCCCAGGAGUUUGUGACUUGCCUGGGCAACGUAGACAGACCCUGACUCUAAAAUAAUAAAAAUAAAAAUAAUCUGUAAUGGACAAAACUAUGAAGAUAUAUAUGCAAGGACCUGAAAAGCUUACCAUCCAUGUUCUCCUCCUGAAACAGACAAACAAAAAAUUCCAUUAUAUUUUUAUCCUACCAAAAUGAGAAGGAAAAAAAACACAAAAAACAAAAAGCAAACCUCUUUACCAUCAGUGAAGUGUACAGCGAAAUAUGAUGGUGGGGGUGUGAGUUCAUUUUUUUCUGGAGAAUUUAGCAAAACAUACCAAAAAUUCUAAAAAUGUUCCCACCUUUUGACUCAGCAAUUUUAUUUUUAGUAAGUUAUUUGAAGGAAAUUGGCAUUAAUGUGGGCAAAGAUUUAGCUACUAAGAGGUGGCAUACAGCCUUAUAUAUAAUAGUGAUAAUCAGAAAGAGCCUAAUGCAGGCCAGGCAUGGUGGCUCACACCUGUAAUCCCAGCACUUUGGGAGGCCAAGUGGGGAGGAUUGCUUGAGCCCAGGAGUUCAAGACCAGCCUGGGAAUCAUAGCAAGACCCCAUCUCUAAAAAAAAAAAGAAAGAAAGAGAAAGAAAAGAAAGAAAGAGAGAGAAAGAAAGAAGGAAGGAAAGAAAGAGCCUAAUGCAAAUACUAGGCUGGCAUUAACUAUGACAUUGUAACUUAAAAAAAUUAUUCCUUUAAAAUAAAUAAUUGAUGAAUAUCAUACAAAAUUUUAAGAUACAAAAGGCUAUUCCAUUAAAAAAAUAAACUUUUUUUCCAUCCUUAUCCUUCAGCCACUGAGUUUCCUCCUUGAAGGCAACUAAAAUGUUUCCCUUUCAAUCUAAUCCAUUCAGA